AGUUCGUUUCAGGGCGGGGUGCAAUUCCCCACCGGCGGUAUAGCCCGCGACCACCCCUAUGGGGUGCUGACUCGGUGAGACUCCGAGGCCGACGGUAUAGUCCGGAUGCAAGAAACGGCAG
Regulatory RNA element from Faecalibacterium sp. CAG:82, 121 nucleotides. It matches the Rfam family "FMN riboswitch aptamer (RFN element)". From Rfam's summary of the family: The RFN element is a highly conserved domain that is found frequently in the 5'-untranslated regions of prokaryotic mRNAs that encode for flavin mononucleotide (FMN) biosynthesis and transport proteins. The record is from Rfam. Lineage: Bacteria; Bacillati; Bacillota; Clostridia; Eubacteriales; Oscillospiraceae.